This 433-nucleotide ribosomal RNA is filed under the name uncultured bacterium. Its description in RNAcentral is "partial 16S ribosomal RNA". It matches the Rfam family "Bacterial small subunit ribosomal RNA", at positions 29 to 507 of the family's 1533-position model. The record is from RNAcentral.
AACGAACGCUGGUGGCAUGCCUAACACAUGCAAGUCGAACGAGACCUUCGUGUCUAGUUGCGCACGGGUGCUUACCACGUGGGAACCUGCCCUUAGGUUCGGAAUAACUCCCCGAAAGGGGUGCUAAUACCGGAUAAUGUCUUCGGACCAAAGAUUUAUCGCCUUUGGAUGGGCCCGCGUUGGUUUAGCUAGUUGGUAGGGUAAAAGCCUACCAAGGCGACGAUCCAUAGCUGGUCUGAGAGGAUGAUAAGCCACACUGGGACUGAGACACGGCCCAGACUCCUACGGGAGGCAGCAGUGGGGAAUAUUGGACAAGGGGCGAAAGCCUGAUACAGCAAUGCCGGGGGAGUGAUGAAGGCCUUAGGGUUGUAAAGCUCUUUUACCCGGGAUGAGAAUGACAGUACCGGGAGAAUAAGCUCCGGCUAACUACGUG